UGGAUCCCCUUUUUGAUCCUGGCUCAGGACGAACGCUGGCGGCGUGCCUAACACAUGCAAGUCGAGCGGGGAUAGCAAGGAGCUUGCUCUGAGCUAUUCUAGCGGCGGACGGGUGAGUAACGCGUGAGCAACCUGCCUUUCACAGGGGGAUAACGCAUCGAAAGAUGUGCUAAUACCGCGUAAGACCACAGCACCGCAUGGUGCAGGGGUCAAAGGAGCAAUCCGGUGAGAGAUGGGCUCGCGUCCGAUUAGCUAGUUGGUGAGAUAACAGCCCACCAAGGCGACGAUCGGUAGCCGACCUGAGAGGGUGAUCGGCCACAUUGGAACUGAGAGACGGUCCAGACUCCUACGGGAGGCAGCAGUGGGGAAUAUUGGGCAAUGGGCGAAAGCCUGACCCAGCAACGCCGCGUGAGGGAAGAAGGGUUUCGGCUCGUAAACCUCUGUCCUAUGGGACGAAGGAAGUGACGGUACCAUAGGAGGAAGCCCCGGCUAACUACGUGCCAGCAGCCGCGGUAAUACGUAGGGGGCGAGCGUUGUCCGGAAUGAUUGGGCGUAAAGGGCGCGUAGGCGGCCUGUUAAGUCUGGAGUGAAAGUCCUGCUUUCAAGGUGGGAAUUGCUCUGGAUACUGAUGGGCUGGAGUGCAGGAGAGGAAAGCGGAAUUACCGGUGUAGCGGUGAGAUGCGUAGAGAUCGGUAGGAACACCAGUGGCGAAGGCGGCUUUCUGGACUGAAACUGACGCUGAGGCGCGAGAGCGUGGGGAGCAAACAGGAUUAGAUACCCUGGUAGUCCACGCGGUAAACGAUGAAUGCUAGGUGUAGGAGGUACCGACCCCUUUUGUGCCGGAGUCAACACAAUAAGCAUUCCGCCUGGGGAGUACGGCCGCAAGGUUGCAAAUGAAAGGAAUUGACGGA
RNAcentral lists this ribosomal RNA (911 nucleotides) under uncultured Bacillota bacterium. RNAcentral's name for it is "bacterial SSU rRNA". It matches the Rfam family "Bacterial small subunit ribosomal RNA", at positions 1 to 917 of the family's 1533-position model. The record is from RNAcentral. Lineage: Bacteria; Bacillati; Bacillota.